Molecule: ribosomal RNA, 609 nt
Filed under: Triticum aestivum (bread wheat)
Lineage: Eukaryota; Viridiplantae; Streptophyta; Magnoliopsida; Poales; Poaceae
Description: partial small subunit ribosomal RNA
Source: RNAcentral
AUGAUGGACGAUGGCAGUCGGCCGACCCUCUUGACGCCCUCCUCGAAGACCACACCCAUGCCCAUGAAGACGUGCGCCUCCACGUGGCAGUGGAACAACCACACCCCCGGGUUGUCCGCCCGGAACCGCACCGCCGUCCACCCAUCCGGGUGCAGUGGCACGGUGUUCUUCAUGAUCGGGUCCCUCACGUUGAGCAGCCUCCAGGCGUCCGCGGCAGGGUUGAACUUACCUUCGCCGUGGCCGAGCACCCAGAAGUCGUGCCCGUGUAGAUGCCACGGGUGCGUCUCGGUCUUGUUGUUGAGCGCGUUGGAGUUCUGCAGCACCACGUCCACCACGGAGCCGAGCGCCAGCCUGUACACCGGGCUGCCCACGGUCCCGUUCGUCGGCGCCGGCGCGGAGAUUUCGUGGCUCAUGUGGUCGUACAUGUCGGGCGGGGGGCGCUGUUCGUACGCGUCUUUCAUGCCGCGCUUCAUCGCCACGAGAUACGGCGUGGCCGGGAACAUGAGCGACACGCCAUUGAUGGUCCACUUGAUGUGGCCAUCAAUCCGGUUCUGGGUGUUGAGGAGGAGCAGCGUGCGGUCGGCCCUCGCCGGCAUGGGCACGACGUAG